This 145-nucleotide unclassified non-coding RNA is filed under the name uncultured Lecanoromycetes. RNAcentral's name for it is "sequence contains ITS2". The record is from RNAcentral. Lineage: Eukaryota; Fungi; Ascomycota; Lecanoromycetes.
CACCCCUCAAACUUAGCUGUUUGAUGUUGGGCACUGCCAGCGUCGGCAUGCCUAAAAAUUAGCGACGGUUCCAGCCAACCUCAAGCGUGCAAGUAUCGUUAUGGGCGAAGGUUGGGGCCAGUCUGUUACGUAUUAUACCUAAAUG